CCUAGUGGUGACAUCAUUGAGGCAUCUUGGUCAAUGGACGCAAGUCUGAACCAGCCAUGCCGCGUGCAGUCUUCCUUCUCUCUUCUUUUUCCCCUUCUUUUUUCCUCUUUUCCACCCCUCUACUUUUAUCGGGUUGAAAGUAUCGUACGAAUAAGGAUCUGCUAACUCCGUGCCAGCCGCCUCUGUAAUACUUCGGAUCCGAGCGUUAUCCGGAUUUAUUGGGUUUAAAGGGUGCGUAGGCGGUUUGAUAAGUUAGAGGUGAAAUGUCGGGGCUCAACCCAGAAACUGCAGAUAAUAAUGUUGGACUAGAGAAUAGUUGCGGUAGGCGGAAUGUAUGGUGUAGCGGUGAAAUGCUUAGAGAUAAUAAAGAACACCGAUUGAGAAGGCAGCUUAAAAAACUAUAUAUGACGUUGAGGCACGAAAGAGGGGGGAGAAAACAGGAGUAGAGAAAAGAGGAGUC
Molecule: ribosomal RNA, 460 nt
Filed under: uncultured bacterium
Lineage: Bacteria
Description: partial 16S ribosomal RNA
Rfam family: Bacterial small subunit ribosomal RNA
Source: RNAcentral